Molecule: non-coding RNA, 524 nt
Organism: Ictidomys tridecemlineatus (thirteen-lined ground squirrel)
Lineage: Eukaryota; Metazoa; Chordata; Mammalia; Rodentia; Sciuridae
Source: RefSeq, a predicted model, not a curated record
GUGCUAGAGAAGCGCGCAUGCGUGCUUGGUGUUAGGGACAGCCUGGACAGCCUUGGGGGAGCCAGGGAGGGUUCCCUGGACCGAGAGGAGUCUGGACAGAGGCCUGUAGGAUGACUUGGAGUCAGCUUUUAGCCAUGCAAACAAGGGUUCUUCCAGGCCAGCGAACAGCCUGAGAAAGAGCUGGAAGGAGAGAAAGGUGAAACAACAAGGAUCCCCUGGGACGAGUUGAGUUUUAGGUGCCUGUGGGACACCAGGCCACUGACUAUGGAGUUCUGGGCCCCUGAUAUGUGGGGGCAGAGUUCUGGACUGAUCACCAUCUGCAUUUGGAGGCACAUUUCCACCUCAGCGACCCUCUGAUGGCUAGUUUAUUGACUCUUACAGACAUGUCUGCUCUGAACACUGCCCACCUGGCUUUGUUCUGCCAGCAUGCAAGGGAUUUAACCCUGUGGCUAUAUACCUUGCCCUUUUUAUUAUGUAUUUAUUUUAAAAUUUUGAGAGACAGGGUCUCUCUGUGUUAUUAAGAG